This 387-nucleotide ribosomal RNA is filed under the name uncultured bacterium. RNAcentral's name for it is "bacterial SSU rRNA". It matches the Rfam family "Bacterial small subunit ribosomal RNA", at positions 28 to 417 of the family's 1533-position model. The record is from RNAcentral.
GAUGAACGCUGGCGGCGUGCUUAACACAUGCAAGUCGAACGUGAUCCAUUAGCAAUAGUGGUGAAAGUGGCGAACGGGUGAGUAACACGUAGAUAACCUACCCUGAAGCGGGGGAUAACGAUUGGAAACGGUCGCUAAUACCGCAUGAGCCUAUUGAAGCGGGAGUGAGAUAGGGAAAAUUCAGGUGCUUUAGGCGGGGUCUGCGUCCGAUUAGCUAGUUGGUGAGGUAACGGCUCACCAAGGCGACGAUCGGUAGCUGGUCUGAGAGGACGAUCAGCCACACGGGAACUGAGACACGGUCCCGACUCCUACGGGGGGCAGCAGUGAGGAAUAUUGGGCAAUGGGCGGAAGCCUGAUCCAGCAACGCCGCGUGAGGGAUGACGGCCU